This 253-nucleotide ribosomal RNA is filed under the name uncultured bacterium. RNAcentral's name for it is "partial 16S ribosomal RNA". It matches the Rfam family "Bacterial small subunit ribosomal RNA", at positions 524 to 776 of the family's 1533-position model. The record is from RNAcentral. RNAcentral also lists the same sequence under 1 other name.
GACGGAGGGUGCAAGCGUUGCUCGGAAUCAUUGGGCGUAAAGGGUGCGUAGGCGGCCCGCCAAGUCUGCCGUGAAAGCCCAGGGCUCAGCCCUGGAAGGGCGGUAGAGACUGGGGGGCUGGAGUGCCGGAGGGGAGAGUGGAAUUCCCGGUGUAGCGGUGAAAUGCGUAGAUAUCGGGAGGAAUACCGGUGGCGAAAGCGACUCUCUGGACGGCAACUGACGCUGAGGCACGAAAGCGUGGGGAGCAAACAGG